RNAcentral lists this ribosomal RNA (255 nucleotides) under uncultured bacterium. RNAcentral describes it as "partial 16S ribosomal RNA". It matches the Rfam family "Bacterial small subunit ribosomal RNA", at positions 524 to 776 of the family's 1533-position model. The record is from RNAcentral.
UACGGGGGGGAGCAAGCGUUGUUCGGAUUUACUGGGCGUAAAGGGCGCGUAGGCGGCCACUGCAAGUCGGUUGUGAAAUCUCCGGGCUUAACUCGGAACGGUCAAGUGAUACUGUCGUGCUAGAGUACAGAAGGGGCAACUGGAAUUCUCGGUGUAGCGGUGAAAUGCGUAGAUAUCGAGAGGAACACCUGCGGCGAAGGCGGGUCUCUGGGCAGUAACUGACGCUGAGGAGCGAAAGCGUGGGGAGCGAACAGG